Molecule: long non-coding RNA, 240 nt
Filed under: Carica papaya (papaya)
Lineage: Eukaryota; Viridiplantae; Streptophyta; Magnoliopsida; Brassicales; Caricaceae
Description: long non-coding RNA (CPAP_LNC000027)
Source: RNAcentral
GAUGUAAAAAUUGUCUGAAACGGGAACGAGAAUGGGCUAUUCGGAGAGGUUUAAGGGUUUCAGUCACAUCGUCUCUGUUUGGCGAUGCCCGCAAUUUUUGGCUCAUCCACCGUCCCUUUUGCUCCGAUAUGGCUAUGGAAAAACUCAGAAUCAAAUUUUCGAGUGGGUAGGAAAAAAAUUUACCUUUUUUGGCGGUCGGUGGUGGGUCUGGUGCGACGGCGGUGAGGAGUCGGUCUCCUU